Molecule: ribosomal RNA, 627 nt
Filed under: Triticum aestivum (bread wheat)
Lineage: Eukaryota; Viridiplantae; Streptophyta; Magnoliopsida; Poales; Poaceae
Description: partial small subunit ribosomal RNA
Source: RNAcentral
AUGUGGCUCAGCACGGCGCCCGUCAGCUCCACCGGCUUGGCCCCGUUGUUCUUGACGAUCACCGCCGUCGCCAUGCUCAGCGGGUACAGCGUCACCACGUACGACACCUCCAGCUUGGCCCCCUUGGCGCCGCCCACGCCGCACCCGAGCUCCACCUGCACCGCGUCGUACGAGUCCGAGUCCACGUCCGUCACGGACCACUCCGACGCGCCGAGCAGCGACGACGAGGAGGAGGCCUCGUUGAGCACCAGCCCCACGCCGCCCUUGACCGCGCCGGCGCCGGCCACGGUGUGCAGCAGCUCCCGGCAGCCGUCCCCGCCCUCCCAGGACACCUUGGGCCGGUACGACGUGACCAGCCCGUCGUUGAGCCGGAGCUGCAGCGAGCUGCCGUUGCGCACGCUCAGCUCCGCCGUGGGCGCGCCCGUGGCGUCCGUCCCGAACCUCAGGCCCUUCCGGCCGAAGGUCUCCUCCAGCUGCGACGUCUGCGUAGUAGCGGCGGGCACCGUCGACGCGACGCCCGAGGCUGCCCUCGCGGCCACGGUGGCUGGCCUGGGGGAGGCCGGGAGGUGGAGCGGGAGGAAGGAGGAGGCGGCCAUCGGAGCUAGCGCUGGAGCGAGUGAUAGCUAG